This 253-nucleotide ribosomal RNA is filed under the name uncultured bacterium. Its description in RNAcentral is "partial 16S ribosomal RNA". It matches the Rfam family "Bacterial small subunit ribosomal RNA", at positions 524 to 776 of the family's 1533-position model. The record is from RNAcentral.
UACGAAGGGGGCUAGCGUUGCUCGGAAUCACUGGGCGUAAAGCGCACGUAGGCGGCUUUUUAAGUCAGGGGUGAAAUCCUGGAGCUCAACUCCAGAACUGCCUUUGAUACUGGGAAGCUUGAGUCCGGGAGAGGUGAGUGGAACUCCGAGUGUAGAGGUGAAAUUCGUAGAUAUUCGGAAGAACACCAGUGGCGAAGGCGGCUCACUGGCCCGGUACUGACGCUGAUGCGCGAAAGCCAGGGGAGCGAACGGG